AUACGAAGGGUGCAAGCGUUACUCGGAAUUACUGGGCGUAAAGCGUGCGUAGGUGGUUGUUUAAGUCUGUCGUGAAAGCCCUGGGCUCAACCUGGGAAUGGCGAUGGACACUGGGCGACUAGAGGGUGGCAGAGGGUAGUGGAAUUCCUGGUGUAGCAGUGAAAUGCGUAGAGAUCAGGAGGAACAUCCGUGGCGAAGGCGACUGCCUGGGCCAACACUGACACUGAGGCACGAAAGCGUGGGGAGCAAACAGGAUUAGAUACCCUGGUAGUCCACGCCCUAAACGAUGCGAACUGGAUGUUGGGUGCAAUUUGGCACGCAGUAUCGAAGCUAACGCGUUAAGUUCGCCGCCUGGGGAGUACGGUCGCAAGACUGAAACUCAAAUGAAUUGGCGGGG
Molecule: ribosomal RNA, 397 nt
Filed under: uncultured bacterium
Lineage: Bacteria
Description: partial 16S ribosomal RNA
Rfam family: Bacterial small subunit ribosomal RNA
Source: RNAcentral